GGGGUUGUGGCUCCAUGGUAGAGCACUCGCCUUGCAUGUGUGAGGCACUGGGUUUGAUCCUCAGCACCACA
RNAcentral lists this transfer RNA (71 nucleotides) under Marmota monax (woodchuck). RNAcentral describes it as "tRNA.Ala". It matches the Rfam family "tRNA". From Rfam's summary of the family: Transfer RNA (tRNA) molecules are approximately 80 nucleotides in length. Their secondary structure includes four short double-helical elements and three loops (D, anti-codon, and T loops). Further hydrogen bonds mediate the characteristic L-shaped molecular structure. tRNAs have two regions of fundamental functional importance: the anti-codon, which is responsible for specific mRNA codon recognition, and the 3' end, to which the tRNAs corresponding amino acid is attached (by aminoacyl-tRNA synthetases). tRNAs cope with the degeneracy of the genetic code in two manners: having more than one tRNA (with a specific anti-codon) for a particular amino acid; and 'wobble' base-pairing, i.e. permitting non-standard base-pairing at the 3rd anti-codon position. The record is from RNAcentral. Lineage: Eukaryota; Metazoa; Chordata; Mammalia; Rodentia; Sciuridae.